GGAAGGUGAGGAUGACGUCAAGUCCGCAUGGCCUUUAUGUCCAGGGCUACACACGUGCUACAAUGGCCGGUACAGAGAGCAGCAAUACCGUGAGGUGGAGCAAAUCUCAAAAAGCCGGUCUCAGUUCGGAUUGUAGUCUGCAACUCGACUACAUGAAGCCGGAAUUGCUAGUAAUGGCGUGUCAGCAAUAACGCCGUGAAUACGUUCCCGGGCCUUGUA
This 219-nucleotide ribosomal RNA is filed under the name Lotharella globosa. Its description in RNAcentral is "partial Bacterial small subunit ribosomal RNA". It matches the Rfam family "Bacterial small subunit ribosomal RNA", at positions 1168 to 1385 of the family's 1533-position model. The record is from RNAcentral. Lineage: Eukaryota; Cercozoa; Chlorarachniophyceae.